CUUAAAUGGAGUUGCUAUUGUUCAGUGAUCGGACAGGGCUUUCCCCUGGUGGUUCCUGUUUGCUCCCAACGACUUCCCUGCUGAUGUCAUCAGACCUUCAGUUUCAUGGGGGCAGUGACUUGAGACUGGAUUGAGCUGGAAGUAUUCCAGGAAUGACUCAGUAAAGAAAGUGGACACAGCCACAGAACUUCUUCCUGGUGGUGUAUGUCAAGAUAGCGGUUCUACCAGGCUCUCUCCGCGUGACCUUGGGCAGAUCUCAUCCCCUUGCAAGCCUCAGCUUCCUCAUCUGUAAAAUGAAGGGCUUAGAUAAUGGCCUUAAGAAUCUUUCCAGCUUUGAUGUAGGAUUCUGUGGUGUCAAAAAGAAGAGAUAUUGUAUUAUUGUGAAUUGAAAUAUAAUUAUCUUUUAUGCUCCACAUGUAAUUUUCUACUUCUCAGGCUACCUGUUAUAUAGUGUCAAC
Dama dama (fallow deer) is the source of this 458-nucleotide long non-coding RNA. RefSeq lists it as uncharacterized. The record is from RefSeq and is a predicted model, not a curated record. NCBI's taxonomy places the organism in Eukaryota, Metazoa, Chordata, Mammalia, Artiodactyla, Cervidae. The transcript has 3 exons.